CUGUAGAGCCUACCCCUGAAGUUCAGAGGGCAACAGCUGAAUUCAUGGCUGCAUGGAAUGCUGCUGCUCAGAAGGCUACACUGAUCCAGUCAUCUCUCGUGAAUCUGCUCAAGCUCCUACACAGGUUGGUGCAAACGGAUGCUGUCAAGAAGGCAACACAGAGUUUAUGGCGGCAUACAAUGCAGCUGCUAGAGCACCCGUUGUUGAACAGGCAGUGUCAACCAUCCCACAACAAGUCCAGGGACUGAAGAGGUUAAGAGAGCUACAGCAGAAUUCAUGAAUGCAUGGCAUGCAGCUGCUCAACGAGCAUCAGCCAUUAAGCAGACAGUAUCCUCAGGACCACAGCCAGUGCAAGCAACUGAUGCAGUGCAGAGAGCUACAGCUGCAUUCAUGACUGCUUGGAAUGAAGCUGCUUCCCGAGUUCCAAGGAUCGAGACAACCAUGUAUACUCUGUCAGGCUCAAGUGCACUGGAUACCUGUGCUGCUUGUGCAGCCCCAUCACCUGUCUGAUACCCUGAGGUUAGAGCUGCCAAAGAACAGUUCAUGGCCACAUUCAGAGCUGCUGAAGCGGCUGCUCGCCGCGCAUCUGUAUCCCGUGGUGUACUGCCUGUUCCCUCAGUGUUGGCUGUGCAUGCCCCAUCUCAUGUCGUAACAUACAGCACAGGUGCCCCUGCCCACAGUUACGUUCUUUCUGACCGUCUCUUUGCUCCAUUCCAAGGACUUCCACUUCAUGUGAAGGACUGCGAUUAGAAAUCCUGUAUGACUGAUCUAGCUAUUAUCAUUUAUAGAAUCUUGUUACUUUUUCACGACAAAUGCGAUUGUAAAUAAAAACUAAAGAAAUCAGAAUGUCAUGGUAUUAAAAUGUUUGACACGAAACAUUA
Molecule: non-coding RNA, 881 nt
Organism: Penaeus vannamei (Pacific white shrimp)
Lineage: Eukaryota; Metazoa; Arthropoda; Malacostraca; Decapoda; Penaeidae
Source: RefSeq, a predicted model, not a curated record